This 1397-nucleotide ribosomal RNA is filed under the name metagenome. Its description in RNAcentral is "SSU rRNA". It matches the Rfam family "Eukaryotic small subunit ribosomal RNA", at positions 1 to 1401 of the family's 1831-position model. The record is from RNAcentral.
UCUGGUUGAUCCUGCCAGAAGUCAUAUGCUUGUGUUGAAGAUUAAGCCAUGCACCUAUUAGUAUAAGGAUUAUACUCUUAAACUGGGAAUGGCUCAUUAAAUCAGCAAUAAUUUAUUUGAUUGUUCCACUUUAAAUGGAUACCCGAGCUAAUUGUUCGGCUAAUACAUGCGAAAAUACGAGACUGCCCUCGGGCGGAAUCGUUGUGUAUAUUAGAAUUCAAAACCAAUAGCUUCGGCUUUACUCGGUUGAAUCAUAAUAUCCUUUCGGACCGUGAGGCCUUGAGCCGACGGCGUUUCAUUCAAGUUGCUGCCCUAUCAGGUAAUUCGUAGUGUAUUGGACUACGAAGCCGUCGACGGGUACGGAGAAUUAGGGUUCGAUUCCGAGAGGGAGCCUGAGAAACGGCCGCCACUUCUAAGGAAGGCAGCAGGCGCGUAAAUUACCCAAUGAGAAUACCUCGAGGUAGUGAAGACCAAUAACAACUCUGGACCUUCAAGGUCUGGAGAUUGGAAUGAGUGGGUUCCAAACCAACCCGCGAUCCAAUGGAGGGAAAGUCUGGUGCCAGCAGCCGCGGUAAUUCCAGCUCCAUUAGUGUAUAUUUAAGUUGUUGCGGUUAAAACGUUCGUAGUCGAAUUUCGGGCGGUUUCGCCAGAGCGUCUGGCAGAUGCUGUGACCUUUGGCGUCCGUCUUUUCUCCUUUAUGCGACCCCGCGCUCUUAGUUGGGUGCGGGUGCUCGUUAAAGGUCGUUCACCUUGAACAAAUCAGAGCGUUCAAAGCAGGCCACCUUGGCCUUUGAAUGUUUAUGCAUGGGAUGAUGGAAUAGGACUCAGGUCUUAUUUUGUUGGUUUCUAGGAACUGAGUAAUGAUUAAUAGCAGCGGUUGGGGGUAUCGGUACUGUGGCGUUAGAGGUGAAAUUCUUGGAUCGCCGCAUGACCAACUUCUGCGAAAGCAUUUACCAAGCACGUCUGCAUUGAUCAAGAACGAAAGUUGAGGGAUCGAAGAUGAUCAGAUACCGUCGUAGUCUCAACCAUAAACGAUGCCGACCGAGGAUGUGCGAGAGUUUAUUCAAUGACCUCGUGCGAACUCCAUGAGAAAUCCGAGUUUUUGGGUUCCGGGGGGAGUAUGGUCGCAAGGCUGAAACUUAAAGGAAUUGACGGAAAGGCACCACAAGGAGUGGAGCUUGCGGCUUAAUUUGACCCAACACGGGAAAACUUACCAGGGCCGGACAAAAGAAGGAUUGACAGAUUGAGAGCUCUUUCUUGAUUCUUCGGGUGGUGGUGCAUGGCCGUUCUUAGUUGGUGGAGUGAUUUGUCUGGUUAAUUCCGUUAACGAACGAGACCUUAACCUGCUAAAUAGUCACGUUAGCCUUCUGAUGUGCCGUGAAGGCCGAGCAGCAGCC